ACAGUGCCUACCGCGUUCAGGUCGCUUCCUCUCAUCGUGGGGGCAUUUUAUCAUCUGACGACAAACACCACGGCAACAAGUAGGAUGUUUUCGUUUCAUCCGUUAAAGCUGAAAUCGAGUCUGGGAUGCAUUUUUGAGGCUCUUACCAAGAUGUCAUAAGAAACCCCAAUGGAGGCCAUGGCCUAAGUGCUCUCCACUUCUUGUCUGCUGCCUCCUGACUACUCUGGAGUUUCUCCAUAAUGGUGCUGGGUGGUGUGCUCUGUCUCCUGUCUCUAGGACCCAUAGGAAGCAGAAGCUACCUAAGAUACUGUUACUGAGGAUGAACUCAGUACAUUGAAUUACUACUGGGGCAACUCUCCUUUUUCCCAGUGGCAUUGGCUCCAUCCAUUGAACAGAUAAGGAGCGGAGGCACACAAGAUGGGACAUGUCUGAUAAGGAAGCAACCAAUUUCCAAUGGCAAGGAGUCUUGGGGAAGAAGAAAUUCUUCAAAGACAUAAUGUAUAGUAAUCGCAUUUAUCUACAGCCAAGAUCUAAUAGAAAAGUUUAUAGAUGGCAGGGAUCUUACGAGAGUAUGUUUCCUUAUUCAGUUUUUCUGUGUUAAGAUUUUAGCUUCAGACUAGCUACAGUUUGGGGGAAUUCUGUCUUCUCAGUUAAUCAGUAAAUGGUCAACAUUUUAAGACAUGCCACCCUUCUGAAAUCAAAGUUCAAGUAGAACAUUUUCAGUCAGUUGCCUAGUUUUCAAGUGUUGAAUCGUGAUUAGUGCUGACUAAGGGGCAGUGGGGCAGGAGGUAGGAGAGAAGGAUUCAUGCCCUCACACAGGUCAUGUGGCUAACAAUAGCUCCAUUUUAGGACUGCCGAGCUUUCUAAGUCCCUGUGUCAGAAUCCCUAACCAAUGGGAGAGAGAGAAGCUUGAACUGCCCCUUUUAAUUUAGUGGGAGAAGAAUGUUUGGAAUGUCAUUUGCGUAAGUGUGACCUCAGCUCAGUACAACAUGUCCAGACAGGUGAGACAGGAUCCACCAUCCUGCAGGUAGUAGUCUCGACGGUGUAAUUUUAACAUUUCAAUUACAGAAAUUCUUAUGGAAUAAUAUUCUCACAGGUGAGACUAAAAGGUAAUGUGAUUCAUAGAAAAAUCGACAAGCAUAACAGAAUGUAUACAAUAAAAUAAAUGUUGACUCUUCUCAGAGGUGACAAGUUUUAUCUGUGGAGAAUAGGUUUGAAUUUUAGAAAGAGACCAAAAUGUAGGUAGCUUGGAAGUGG
Molecule: long non-coding RNA, 1257 nt
Organism: Prionailurus viverrinus (fishing cat)
Lineage: Eukaryota; Metazoa; Chordata; Mammalia; Carnivora; Felidae
Exons: 5
Source: RefSeq, a predicted model, not a curated record